RNAcentral lists this non-coding RNA (438 nucleotides) under Chrysaora fuscescens. The record is from RNAcentral. Lineage: Eukaryota; Metazoa; Cnidaria; Scyphozoa; Semaeostomeae; Pelagiidae.
CAGAUGGUUCCACUAUUGAUCAGCUGUCUUCGGACGGCCUAACCCUAACCCUAGAGGGUAUGCGAUUCGUCUUUACUAGUCAAUGGCUACCUGGUCAGCCCUGAUUUGCAGUACCUGUGAAGUUUUCCUGACAUGUUUUCUUCACAGGCAGGGCGAUAAGGAAAUAAAAAGCAUGUUUUCAAUAAGGACUGUUUGUUUCUGCCAAUUUGUUGUGUUAACCGGAGCUGGAUUGAGUCCAUCCAGACAAGCACCGUGGAAGCUAGAAGAAAACUUCGACAGAAGCUUAAACAGCUUUAGUGUCGUAGCGAAGGAUUCGUUCCUGCAUUUUCUAGACGAAGCAGUGCUUUCCUUGAACAUGAAAAUUCAGAUCAAAUGAAAAAAUGCGUGGUGCUUGAUUACUGUAGAAUUGUUUUCAAGCCUGCAAUUUUUUCGACAUUC